RNAcentral lists this long non-coding RNA (1327 nucleotides) under Anolis carolinensis (green anole). RNAcentral describes it as "lncRNA (ENSACAG00000042598.1)". Lineage: Eukaryota; Metazoa; Chordata; Lepidosauria; Squamata; Anolidae. The record is from RNAcentral.
UUCUCCAAGCUCAGCAUCACAUUACUGGAAUGGGACAUGAGAAAGUGUCAAAAUGGGUUGCUGUUUCCCGGGCAGUAUGGCCAUGUUCCAGAAGCAUUCUCUCCUAUGUUUUGUCCACAUGUAUGGCAGGCAUCCUCAGAGGUUGUGAGGUAUCUCACAACCUCUGAGGAUGCCUGCUUCUGGAACAUUAUGUAUUAUUAUGUAUAACAUUAUUAUAUAUGCUGGAACUCAAUUGACAGACCCAGUCUUUUAGACUCGGAACAUGCCCAUCUGUAUUUUAUAAGUGUUUUUAUGAAUGUCUGAUGUAAUUUAAUAACUUUUUAAUUGAUUCACAAUGUAUUGUACAAUUUUAUAUAUGUGGUUUAUUGUAAGCCGCCCUGAGUCCCCUAUUGGGUUAUAAAUAUUGUAAUAAAUAAAUAAAAUAUUAUUUCUUCCAUUUCCCCCCAGUUGCUUGAGAGUUCCAGUUCCUUGAGUUCUGGUUAACUGAGAGUCUACUGUAACAGAGGCAGCAAAGCUCCAUGUGGCACAACUGAACUCAAAUGUGGGGAAAAUAUCCCUUCCAACAGGGAUUCGUGGGGUUGUCUCUAAGCAGGUUCCUAUCUCUCAAUCUUGUAAAAUGGAGGCAAGAACUGCUGAGUUCAUUAACUUUCUGUAAGACAAAUAAUGGCUUCUAAUAAUCAACACUGGGCUGGACCACUAAAACUCCUGCCUAUUCUCCAACUUCCCUAUUAUCUCAGGCACUGCCAUCUUCAAAUCCCUUUGUUGUUGUCUCCUAGGGUGCUGUAGAAUAAAUGAAGCUUGACACCACUUUAUUGACAUGGUCCAAUGCUAUGGAAUCAUCUGAUUUGUAGUCUCCUGAGGAAUCAGUACUCUUAGAUAGAAAACCCUAAAUACCUUGUAAAACUACAACUCCCAUGACUGCAUUGCAUGGAACCACAGCAGUGAAAGUAGGUUCAAGCUGCAGUAAUUGUUGCGUAUUGAUACACUGAAUGUCUUUUCCAAGCCAUGGCAAACCUAAGACAAAGCUAUCAUGGGGCUGUGUGAGUACAUCUACACCAGGCAUGGGCCCUCCAGGUGUUUUGGACUUCAACUCCCACAAUUAUGGGAAUUGAAGUCCAAAACACCUGGAGGGCUGAAGUUUGCCCAUGCCUGAUCUACUCUGAUGAAUUAAUGAGGUUUGACACUUGACUGAAUGAUAUGGCAUGCUAGGAGUUGUAGUUUGGUGAGGCACAAGUCCUCUUCGGCAGAGAAGGCGGAAGACCUUGUGAAACUGCAAACCCCAUGAUUCCAGAACAUAGACCCAUGGCACUUUAAGAGGUGUCAAACU